GAUGAACGCUAGCUACAGGCUUAACACAUGCAAGUCGAGGGGCAGCGCAGUGUAGCAAUACAUGGGCGGCGACCGGCGCACGGGUGCGUAACGCGUAUCCAACCUUCCCGUUACUCUUGGAUAGCCUUCCGAAAGGGAGAUUAAUACAAGAUGGUAUUCAAAUUCCGCAUGUUAUUUGAAUUAAAGAUUUAUCGGUAACGGAUGGGGAUGCGUGACAUUAGCUAGACGGCGGGGUAACGGCCCACCGUGGCGACGAUGUCUAGGGGUUCUGAGAGGAAGGUCCCCCACACUGGAACUGAGACACGGUCCAGACUCCUACGGGAGGCAGCAGUGAGGAAUAUUGGUCAAUGGACGAAAGUCUGAACCAGCCAAGUAGCGUGAAGGAUGACUGCCCUAUGGGUUGUAAACUUCUUUUAGCAGGGACGAAUACGUGACGGUACCUGCAGAAAAAGCAACGGCUAACUACGUG
This 469-nucleotide ribosomal RNA is filed under the name uncultured bacterium. Its description in RNAcentral is "bacterial SSU rRNA". It matches the Rfam family "Bacterial small subunit ribosomal RNA", at positions 28 to 507 of the family's 1533-position model. The record is from RNAcentral.